RNAcentral lists this non-coding RNA (25 nucleotides) under Cricetulus griseus (Chinese hamster). Lineage: Eukaryota; Metazoa; Chordata; Mammalia; Rodentia; Cricetidae. The record is from RNAcentral.
GUUUCCCACGCUGUGCUCCGUGUGU